This 384-nucleotide ribosomal RNA is filed under the name uncultured Glomus. Its description in RNAcentral is "SSU rRNA". It matches the Rfam family "Eukaryotic small subunit ribosomal RNA", at positions 569 to 960 of the family's 1831-position model. Lineage: Eukaryota; Fungi; Glomeromycota; Glomeromycetes; Glomerales; Glomeraceae. The record is from RNAcentral.
AGCAGCCGCGGUAAUUCCAGCUCCAAUAGCGUAUAUUAAAGUUGUUGCAGUUAAGAAGCUCGUAGUUGAAUUUCGGGAUUAGUGCCCUGGUCAUGUCUUUGGUAUGUACUGGUGUUACUGAUUUCUACCUUCUGAAGAACCGUUAUGUCAUUUAUUUGGUGUGGCGGGGAAUCAGGACUGUUACUUUGAAAAAUUAGAGUGUUUAAAGCAGGCUCGCGCUUGAAUACNUUAGCAUGGAAUAAUGAAAUAGAACGUUUGACCCUAUUUGUUGGUUUCUAGGAUCGACGUAACGAUUAAUAAGGAUAGUUGGGGCAUUAGUAUUCAAUUGUCAGAGGUGAAAUUCUUGGAUUUAUUGAAGACUAACUACUGCGAAAGCAUUUGACC